Molecule: ribosomal RNA, 585 nt
Filed under: Pseudomonas sp. StFRB018
Lineage: Bacteria; Pseudomonadati; Pseudomonadota; Gammaproteobacteria; Pseudomonadales; Pseudomonadaceae
Also listed under: 4 other names
Description: bacterial SSU rRNA
Rfam family: Bacterial small subunit ribosomal RNA
Source: RNAcentral
ACGGGUGAGUAAUGCCUAGGAAUCUGCCUGGUAGUGGGGGACAACGUUUCGAAAGGAACGCUAAUACCGCAUACGUCCUACGGGAGAAAGCAGGGGACCUUCGGGCCUUGCGCUAUCAGAUGAGCCUAGGUCGGAUUAGCUAGUUGGUGAGGUAAUGGCUCACCAAGGCGACGAUCCGUAACUGGUCUGAGAGGAUGAUCAGUCACACUGGAACUGAGACACGGUCCAGACUCCUACGGGAGGCAGCAGUGGGGAAUAUUGGACAAUGGGCGAAAGCCUGAUCCAGCCAUGCCGCGUGUGUGAAGAAGGUCUUCGGAUUGUAAAGCACUUUAAGUUGGGAGGAAGGGCAUUAACCUAAUACGUUAGUGUUUUGACGUUACCGACAGAAUAAGCACCGGCUAACUCUGUGCCAGCAGCCGCGGUAAUACAGAGGGUGCAAGCGUUAAUCGGAAUUACUGGGCGUAAAGCGCGCGUAGGUGGUUUGUUAAGUUGGAUGUGAAAGCCCCGGGCUCAACCUGGGAACUGCAUUCAAAACUGACAAGCUAGAGUAUGGUAGAGGGUGGUGGAAUUUCCUGUGUAGCGGUG